This 192-nucleotide ribosomal RNA is filed under the name uncultured Enterobacterales bacterium. Its description in RNAcentral is "partial 16S ribosomal RNA". It matches the Rfam family "Bacterial small subunit ribosomal RNA", at positions 140 to 334 of the family's 1533-position model. Lineage: Bacteria; Pseudomonadati; Pseudomonadota; Gammaproteobacteria; Enterobacterales. The record is from RNAcentral.
GGGAUAACUACUGGAAACGGUAGCUAAUACCGCAUAACGUCGCAAGACCAAAGAGGGGGACCUUCGGGCCUCUUGCCAUCGGAUGUGCCCAGAUGGGAUUAGCUAGUAGGUGGGGUAACGGCUCACCUAGGUGACGAUCCCUAGCUGGUCUGAGAGGAUGACCAGCCACACUGGAACUGAGACACGGUCCAG